GUCAAGUGCUGGCCUGUCAUAUGAGUGAUCUACGAUUGUCGGGGAUCUUAUGGAAGAAUCGCUACUGUUUGGCCACAUUUGCCAUCAGCUCUCGAUUCAGUAUUUCCGAUCGGGUUCGACGAAGUUCGCUUCAUUUUCAAGCUGAUUGGCAACUGACGACUAGCGGUGGGAGGGUAUUGAGGCGCUGCAUACCGAACCAAAAAUGAAGUCCGGUCGAAGAAAAAUAGUUAGUGCUAAAUUUGGUGCAACCGAACGAACAAAUGCUACUUCUAGGCGAAUAUACUACAGAUAGAAGAACUGACGAUAUCGGUUAAAAUAUUAAAUUUAUGAAACGUGGUUGAUACGAUGUGACCUUGGUGGUUCUGAAGGCCUUGCUUCUAUAUCUGGUUAUUUUUGUAUUUGCAUAAUCUGUGAGCGUUUAGUGUGUGUACCAGUUGUUAGCAGAAACGCCAGUUUCUGUUGAGCGGAUCGGCGAAAUCAUAGAGUCAAACAUUGAAAGGGUGUCGUGUUGUGUAAAUGUGCUCCUGUUCCCCAGUUAGAACAGAUAAUGACACUACUGUUCAGGUGGGCAUCACUGCAGUGUGUGUAAAUGUGGUGGGCAUAUUCCCUGGUGUCGUUUAAAUGCUCGGAACGUCUCCUUAUUGUGUCAGUGGAUAUAUCGAAAUAAUUGAAGGACGGCGCCUAUAGUAGGUGUAUUCACAGCUGUUGCGUUGACUUUGGCAAUUGAAACUAUAUGAUUAUUUGUGCCUUGAGGAUUUGUACUUUACGUUUUUGGAUGCAGUUAUCGGCCUUCCGCAGGGGUAAGUGGGUCCGGGUAACUGUUUCAAGUUGCCUAACGAAACUUGUGUGAAGACCGACCGGAGAACUUCCUUCGCCAAUAGCAUCCAGCUGCGUAUAUUCAAACGAUCGUAUGUGUUUGCAGAGCUGCACAGUGUUUUCUGUUCAUUUGAUAAUUUCAGUGAACUCGUGUAAUUUUCUGUAUAAAUAUGGCGUCAUAAACGUUCAAGGUCGUUCUGACACUAACCAUUCGAUUUUACAAAACGUGGUCGCUUUCGGCUUUUUUGAUCAGCCGUUUCACUUAUAGACCGUACCCUGUCACCUUCGUAUAUGGGGCUAACCUAUGGGACCGAUAAUCCCGUGCGUGCUGCCAUGCACGACAAGUUAUCCUAUUAGCAAGCAGUAGAAAGUCUCUCUCGCUAGAAAUUCUGUGUUUUCUCAUGAAAACAAAGGUGGAAUCAUAACAAGAUCAUAUGAACAAAACGGGGUGAACUGUUAACGGGAAAAGGCAGGAGAACUGGAAAGCUGUCGUGAGCAAGCAUGAGCUACUGACGGCAUUUUCCACGUACGCCGGCGUCGUCGAAAGCAAGCACCGGCCGGAAAAGUUCCCACAGACUAAGGUUCGUGAGUGCAGGCGAAUGCUUCACGCGAAAGACUUUGGUGAAAAAGCCAGGAAAAGUCAGCUAGACAUAUCUGCAAAGAAAACGAUGGCGGAUGCCUCCUAGGGGCCGCGCACUACUAGAGCAAAGGAAACUACUGCUAACUGGCAUGGAUUGACGUAAAGAAAGGACUAUUUAUAGAUCGGAGCUCAGGGCGACGUAAAACCGACGUGCACAUGGCAUGUGACAUCGUCAGAAAGUAAUAUAAUGCUUAUGCCAGCUAACUGGUGAGCAGGAGCCAAUCAAAAACAUCAGUGGAAAGAAAGAUAGAUUCUAGACUCUACUGUUUCUAACACUACAGGUGCUGGCUUGCCUGUACGAUCACUUUUGGCCUUUUCCGUGUGUGUCAUCGCAAAUUGCCCCGGAGUAAACAUCCAAGCCGAGACUCCUUUCUACCUUAUCAACGUUUGCUAUGCAAAUGUGAAUUGAAAAUGUUUAGAAAACUUUUGCCCUCAACCUGGAAGCAAACAAAGAAAAAUACGCGGAAACGUGAAACAGCGGUCAGGAUACUGUCCUGCGUGGAAGACGUUGUGCGUUGUUCAUAAUGUUUCUGCGUGUCUGUUCGACAACACGAGGGAGAUAGCGGCGCCGGUUAGCUAUAGGAGACGAAAGAAAUGGAACGAAGGCGCCUUAUUCACUUCUAAGCGCGUUCCUUGGUGCGCUGUUAUCACGGCCGUCGAAGGCACAGCAACGGUGCUAAUCACACUCGCUGGAGUGGAACCACCAGAAGUGGUCCUUAUCCCGUGAAGGCGCGAAAAACUUCCUCUGACUCAGCGUUACUGGGCGCCUCUCAAGUGGAGUUCGUCUCCGCCGGUCUGUAGUCGAGGACAGCGACGGAGAGGAGGACGGACGACAGACCUUUUAUUACAGGAAGAGCAGGCCGGCAAGCAAGGAGGCCAAGUCCGAAAAAAAAAAGCUGUGUAAAAAGGGUUUUCAAGAAUGUGAGGUGCGAGCUGAAAGUCUUUUUAUAUAUACACGCACAGCAUGGCGGCAUUGCCGAGAAGACGUGGUGGACUAGAGAACUUAUCACAUGCUUGUUCGGUAAGGAAGCAGAACAAAUUGUCUGUACUGCUCUGCUACACUCGCUUCUUAUCCAUCUUCUGGUGAAUGAUAACAUUCAGCGGAAUGCUUGUAAGACAGAGAGGUAAGGAAUUUGUAUGUGCGUAAGGUGUAGCCGGUGAUUGUGCCGGUAUUACACAUUCGGAGAUACGAAUAGGGGUCGAGUUCCUCUUGUCGUUCGUCGAACGGAAUGGCAGCAGCUUGACUUCGUUAGAAUGACUGGGUAGCUGGAGUGACGGGAUAGGUAAACGUCACAAGUUGAAGCUGGACGGACCGAACCGGAAAUCGCCAUCCAUGCGGAGGCUUAGAUCUGGGUUUUUGCCACUUUACCGGUUGUUCGCUUCUAUCAGUAAUCUUGUACCUUCCGAUUUUCUUUCCUCUCGCCGAGCUUGCUGAGCCAAAGUUUUGACAAAAAGACUCACAAGACCAUGCAUAGCUUCGCGGGGCGACUUUGCCUCUACAAAGCCGGUGAAGAUGACGACGACGACGACGACGACGACGACGGCGGCUAGAUCUCCUUCUCGUUCGGUACUUAGCUAAGCGUUAGAAAGACCACGAACCAAAUGUUGCAUUACCCCAUUACAUAGGCACAAUAUAGAGCGUCAAUUCAAUCUGAAAUUAACGCAACGAAACAAAUGUCUGUAUUAUGUUAAUAUAAAUUUGGAUCCGUUCUUUUACGUGUCAAACAAACAUAACAGCACGAGUUUUUCGUAUCCGUAAUCCGCUAAUAGGCAACGGCCCGCUUUAAGAAUCGACCAAACGACGCGCGACCUGUUGUAAAGGGUUUAUCAAGAGAGCUGCACGAAGCUUCGAGCAGACGAGUGUACUGUGUUAGCUGCUGAGUACUAACUAUAAAAGGGUCGCUUUACGAAUCACGAUGCCGUUCGUCGUAUGCACCCGAUUAAGGGGCAUUUUAAGUUGA
Molecule: long non-coding RNA, 3417 nt
Organism: Varroa destructor (honeybee mite)
Lineage: Eukaryota; Metazoa; Arthropoda; Arachnida; Mesostigmata; Varroidae
Gene: mAChR-A
Source: RefSeq, a predicted model, not a curated record